GCCAGCGGGCUGAGCCGGGGAUGGCCUUGUUAUCAGCGUUGUCUGAGCCUCGCCCGGCUGGAGAAUCCCAUGGUCCACGGCGCUGCAAGCGAUUAUCAGUCAUCAGUCAGUCUCAGAGAGAGAGGAUCCAACCCGGUUGGGCUUGGGUAAGGCUCGGUUUUCUUUUCGGGGUUAAAUUUUGAGACCCACAUUUCUAAGAAAAAUGGUCGACGGGCCUAAUUUUCGUCAAUCUCGCCAACUUAGCAGAUAAAAGAUCAGAGCAAGAGCUACACAAGAAUCAGUGAAACACGGCCGCCAUCUCUGAUGGGCCACCAUUUUCAUGAACUCUACUACCUUGACACCAUGAUGAUGACCAAAAAUGACUUUCUGGCCCUCGUGCAUAGUUUACCAACACCAAGACGAGAUCUAAUCCG
Molecule: long non-coding RNA, 413 nt
Filed under: Spirodela polyrhiza (greater duckweed)
Lineage: Eukaryota; Viridiplantae; Streptophyta; Magnoliopsida; Alismatales; Araceae
Description: long non-coding RNA (SPOL_LNC002619)
Source: RNAcentral